Musca domestica (house fly) is the source of this 578-nucleotide long non-coding RNA. RefSeq lists it as uncharacterized. The transcript is spliced from 4 exons. The record is from RefSeq and is a predicted model, not a curated record. NCBI's taxonomy places the organism in Eukaryota, Metazoa, Arthropoda, Insecta, Diptera, Muscidae.
GUUUGUGCGAGAAAGUUGUGCGUUUAACAAAAUCAAUAAAUGAAAAGUUUAAAAUUUAUAAAAACAAUUUUUGGUGACAAAAAAGAAAUAAUUUGACGGAGAUAACAAUUACCAAUUGUUCCUAGAUGAAGUUCGUAAAAGCUACAGUUUAAGAGAUGUUAGUGUAGACGUACUCUCUAAAGGUUUCAAGAUAAAACAAAGCCAUUUUCCGGAUUUUGUUAAACAGUUUAUUGGAUCUACUGAUUUUGUUCUAGACAUUAAGCUGCCAAGUAUUGACGUUUGUGUAUCCAAUACGGACUCUGCAUUUGAAAGUGAAUCUAUAGAUUCCCCAUCAGCAGAACAUUUCGCAGCUGCUCAUCAAGCAAUAUCCUGCAUUGGAAACAUUUUUAAAUUCCUCCCAAGACAUAAUUGUUUUCACCAGUGUGGACAUUUGCAAAGUCUUCCAUCAAAGCAGGAAAUUAGCGCCAUCCCUGAUAUUAACCAAUUCUUAAAUGUUAAAACAUUGGAAAAUAAGGACCGCAUUAAAAUUUCAAAGGCUUUAAUGGAAUUUAUUCUAAAUAAAACCCCAAACAGACAGU